This 253-nucleotide ribosomal RNA is filed under the name uncultured bacterium. RNAcentral describes it as "partial 16S ribosomal RNA". It matches the Rfam family "Bacterial small subunit ribosomal RNA", at positions 524 to 776 of the family's 1533-position model. The record is from RNAcentral.
GACGAACCGAGCGAACGUUGUUCGGAAUCACUGGGCUUAAAGCGUGUGUAGGUGGGUUUGUAAGUACCUUGUGAAAUCCCAUGGCUCAACCAUGGAACUGCUGGGUAUACUGCGAAUCUUGAGCUGUCUAGAGGUUACUGGAACAAACGGUGGAGCGGUGAAAUGCGUAGAUAUCGUUUGGAACGCCAAUGGUGAAAACAGGUAACUGGGGACACGCUGACACUGAGACACGAAAGCCAGGGGAGCAAACGGG